Molecule: ribosomal RNA, 363 nt
Filed under: uncultured Sphingomonas sp.
Lineage: Bacteria; Pseudomonadati; Pseudomonadota; Alphaproteobacteria; Sphingomonadales; Sphingomonadaceae
Description: bacterial SSU rRNA
Rfam family: Bacterial small subunit ribosomal RNA
Source: RNAcentral
CAGCGUUUGACAUGUCCGGACGACUUCCAGAGAUGGAUUUCUUCCCUUCGGGGACUGGAACACAGGUGCUGCAUGGCUGUCGUCAGCUCGUGUCGUGAGAUGUUGGGUUAAGUCCCGCAACGAGCGCAACCCUCGCCUUUAGUUACCAUCAUUUGGUUGGGUACUCUAAAGGAACCGCCGGUGAUAAGCCGGAGGAAGGUGGGGAUGACGUCAAGUCCUCAUGGCCCUUACGCGCUGGGCUACACACGUGCUACAAUGGCAACUACAGUGGGCAGCGACCCUGCGAGGGCGAGCUAAUCCCCAAAAGUUGUCUCAGUUCGGAUUGUUCUCUGCAACUCGAGAGCAUGAAGGCGGAAUCGCUAG